UUGCAAGUGGUGUGGGUUAGCACGCUCGCCUCACACCUCCAGGGUCGGGGGUUCGAUUCCCACCGGGUACU
This is a non-coding RNA of Ameiurus melas (black bullhead), 71 nucleotides long. NCBI's taxonomy places the organism in Eukaryota, Metazoa, Chordata, Actinopteri, Siluriformes, Ictaluridae. The record is from the annotation of a GenBank genome assembly.